AUUGAACGCUGGCGGCAUGCUUUACACAUGCCAGUCGAACGGCAGCGCGGGCUUCGGCCUGGCGGCGAGUGGCGAACGGGUGAGUAAUGCAUCGGAACGUGCCCAGUAGUGGGGGAUAGCCCGGCGAAAGCCGGAUUAAUACCGCAUACGACCUGAGGGUGAAAGCGGGGGACCGAAAGGCCUCGCGCUAUUGGAGCGGCCGAUGUCGGAUUAGCUAGUUGGUGGGGUAAAGGCUUACCAAGGCGACGAUCCGUAGCUGGUCUGAGAGGACGACCAGCCACACUGGGACUGAGACACGGCCCAGACUCCUACGGGAGGCAGCAGUGGGGAAUUUUGGACAAUGGGGGCAACCCUGAUCCAGCCAUGCCGCGUGCGGGAUGAAGGCCUUCGGGUUGUAAACCGCUUUUGUUCGGGAAGAAAUCCUCUGGGCUAAUACCCCGGGGGGAUGACGGUACCGGAAGAAUAAGCACCGGCUAACUACGUG
This 484-nucleotide ribosomal RNA is filed under the name uncultured bacterium. RNAcentral describes it as "partial 16S ribosomal RNA". It matches the Rfam family "Bacterial small subunit ribosomal RNA", at positions 28 to 507 of the family's 1533-position model. The record is from RNAcentral.